GAUACCAUCCCUCGAUCGCUACC
Molecule: non-coding RNA, 23 nt
Filed under: Arabidopsis thaliana (thale cress)
Lineage: Eukaryota; Viridiplantae; Streptophyta; Magnoliopsida; Brassicales; Brassicaceae
Source: RNAcentral